CAGCAGCCGCGGUAAUACAGAGGGUGCGAGCGUUAAUCGGAAUUACUGGGCGUAAAGCGCGCGUAGACGGUUUUGUAAGUCAGAUGUGAAAUCCCUGGGCUCAACCUGGGAACUGCAUUUGAAACUGCAUGGCUAGAGUAUCGAAGAGGGAAAUGGGAUUUCCGGUGUAGCGGUGAAAUGCGUAGAUAUCGGAAGGAACACCAGUGGCGAAAGCGACUUCCUGGUCGAAUACUGACGUUCAUGUGCGAAAGCGUGGGGAGCAAACAGGAUUAGAUACCCCCGUAGUCCCUGUCUCUUAUAC
Molecule: ribosomal RNA, 301 nt
Filed under: uncultured bacterium
Lineage: Bacteria
Description: partial 16S ribosomal RNA
Rfam family: Bacterial small subunit ribosomal RNA
Source: RNAcentral